RNAcentral lists this long non-coding RNA (254 nucleotides) under Lathyrus oleraceus (garden pea). RNAcentral's name for it is "Pisum sativum (pea) long non-coding RNA (PSAT_LNC000327)". The record is from RNAcentral. Lineage: Eukaryota; Viridiplantae; Streptophyta; Magnoliopsida; Fabales; Fabaceae.
UCCAAAGUCGGCAAUAGCUGGAAGUCCGGAAAUAAGAAGCAAUGAUGCAAGGGAUCAUAGAACUGAGCCAAGGUACUCAUCAAUCCUUCGUCAACCUGGGUGGUGAGCAGAGGCAGAAGCUUCCCAUAACGAGCUUUGAAACCCAAGGGAUCUAAUACAUACGAUGUCAGAUUCCUUAACUCUUUUACAUUGGGCUGCCUGAAGCUGUACUUCUUUGUAUGCCUCUUUGGUCUUUCCAUGUCUGAAAAUUUUGC